This 492-nucleotide ribosomal RNA is filed under the name uncultured bacterium. RNAcentral's name for it is "partial 16S ribosomal RNA". It matches the Rfam family "Bacterial small subunit ribosomal RNA", at positions 29 to 507 of the family's 1533-position model. The record is from RNAcentral.
AGUGAACGCUGGCGGUAGGCCUAACACAUGCAAGUCGAACGGCAGCACAGUAAGAGCUUGCUCUUACGGGUGGCGAGUGGCGGACGGGUGAGGAAUACAUCGGAAUCUACUUUUUCGUGGGGGAUAACGUAGGGAAACUUACGCUAAUACCGCAUACGACCUACGGGUGAAAGCAGGGGAUCUUCGGACCUUGCGCGAUUGAAUGAGCCGAUGUCGGAUUAGCUAGUUGGCGGGGUAAAGGCCCACCAAGGCGACGAUCCGUAGCUGGUCUGAGAGGAUGAUCAGCCACACUGGAACUUAGACACGGUCCAGACUCCUACGGGAGGCAGCAGUGGGGAAUAUUGGACAAUGGGCGCAAGCCUGAUCCAGCCAUACCGCGUGGGUGAAGAAGGCCUUCGGGUUGUAAAGCCCUUUUGUUGGGAAAGAAAAGCAGCAAGUUAAUACCCCGCUGUUCUGACGGUACCCAAAGAAUAAGCACCGGCUAACUUCGUG